GGUAAAAUGGCUGAUUAUAGGCAAUAAAUUGUAAAUUUAUGUAUGAGGUUAUCUCUUUUAUCA
This 63-nucleotide transfer RNA is filed under the name Staphylinoidea sp. 13 KM-2017. RNAcentral's name for it is "tRNA-Tyr". The record is from RNAcentral. Lineage: Eukaryota; Metazoa; Arthropoda; Insecta; Coleoptera.